Molecule: ribosomal RNA, 254 nt
Filed under: uncultured bacterium
Lineage: Bacteria
Description: partial 16S ribosomal RNA
Rfam family: Bacterial small subunit ribosomal RNA
Source: RNAcentral
UACGUAGGCAGCAAGCGUUGUUCGGAGUUACUGGGCGUAAAGGGUGUGUAGGCGGUUCUUUAAGUUUGUCGUGAAAUCUCCCGGCUCAACCGGGAGGGUGCGGCGAAUACUGAGGGGCUAGAGUGCGGGAGAGGAGAGUGGAAUUCCUGGUGUAGCGGUGAAAUGCGUAGAUAUCAGGAGGAACACCGGUGGUGUAAACGGCUCUCUGGACCGUAACUGACGCUGAGACACGAAAAGCGUGGGGAGCAAACAGG